Molecule: ribosomal RNA, 325 nt
Filed under: Colletotrichum siamense
Lineage: Eukaryota; Fungi; Ascomycota; Sordariomycetes; Glomerellales; Glomerellaceae
Description: partial large subunit ribosomal RNA
Rfam family: Eukaryotic large subunit ribosomal RNA
Source: RNAcentral
UAAAGCUAAAUACCGGCCAGAGACCGAUAGCGCACAAGUAGAGUGAUCGAAAGAUGAAAAGCACUUUGAAAAGAGGGUUAAACAGCACGUGAAAUUGUUAAAAGGGAAGCGCUUGUGACCAGACUUGCGUCCGGUGAAUCACCCAGCUCUCGCGGCUGGGGCACUUCGCCGGCUCAGGCCAGCAUCAGCUCGCUGUCGGGGACAAAAGCUUCAGGAACGUAGCUCUCUUCGGGGAGUGUUAUAGCCUGUUGCAUAAUACCCUUCGGCGGGCUGAGGUACGCGCUCCGCAAGGAUGCUGGCAUAAUGGUCAUCAGCGACCCGUCUU